GGGCCGGUCGUCUAGCGGGAGGAUGUCGCCUUCGCAAGGGCUAAUGUAGGGGCUCCGAGUACGGCGGAGGUCCCGGGUUCGAAUCCCGGCCGGUCCA
The sequence is a transfer RNA, 97 nucleotides long. It matches the Rfam family "tRNA". Rfam says of the family: Transfer RNA (tRNA) molecules are approximately 80 nucleotides in length. Their secondary structure includes four short double-helical elements and three loops (D, anti-codon, and T loops). Further hydrogen bonds mediate the characteristic L-shaped molecular structure. tRNAs have two regions of fundamental functional importance: the anti-codon, which is responsible for specific mRNA codon recognition, and the 3' end, to which the tRNAs corresponding amino acid is attached (by aminoacyl-tRNA synthetases). tRNAs cope with the degeneracy of the genetic code in two manners: having more than one tRNA (with a specific anti-codon) for a particular amino acid; and 'wobble' base-pairing, i.e. permitting non-standard base-pairing at the 3rd anti-codon position. The record is from Rfam.